Molecule: long non-coding RNA, 2999 nt
Organism: Sebastes umbrosus (honeycomb rockfish)
Lineage: Eukaryota; Metazoa; Chordata; Actinopteri; Perciformes; Sebastidae
Exons: 5
Source: RefSeq, a predicted model, not a curated record
AUUCCUCCACACACGUGGGGGUCCAUGUAGUUCACAUGCACACUAGCAUGUAUUGUGUGUGCUGCAGGACUCAGAGGGCCCCACCCCUUCAUCCACAUCGUAACAUGUCCCGGCCUCCUUAUAUAAAGACUUUACAUCGUGAACACGCUGUACUUUUCAUCCCCAACAGAGCCUGAGCGACCCAAACCCUGCAGACUCCUCCAGAACCAUCUGCAGCUGCAGGUCUCGAGAGCCGCCCGAGCUCUUCCCUCCGCAUCAAACCACCUCACACCACAUCGACCGACAUGAUCAUCAGACUGGGCAGACUGACCCCUGGAUACUUCCGCCUCCUCCAGAGGCAAGUCGCCGGCGAGGUGCAGACGCAGCCACAAGACCGCGCCGUCAACCAGAUAGCCAUGAUGCUGGCCAUCAUGGGCCUGAGUUUGUCCUACUACAGCGCCAGACAGAUGACGGAGAAGGUUCAGGCCCGGCCGGCGCCCUGAAGACACCCUCGAGUACUACUCGAAUGGAUGAGCCAAUGAGAAGUGAAGGAGGUGGAUGGUGGCGAGGCGGGUGGCAGACGCAGAGACACAGCAGUGUCUUCCAGGGCCGCACUUCUUUUUUCUGACCUCACAGUCGCACUCGGACACUGAAUUUCUGGGAUCCCUCACUCACCAUGCGCAAAAGACUUCAGGGCUGCUGCUAAGUGUUUUCUGUACUUUCUGUCGUCAGGACCUUUAGGGGGGUUGUUGGGGAUGGCUCACUUGGGGGGGGGGGGGUCAUGGAUAAGACUGGUUUCAUGGACUGGUUUGGGUGGGUGAUCAAAACCAGCCGACUGGGUCUGACCAUUAGUGGUUAGAAAGGUACAUGCUUGCAAAACGCCGUCAAUACUGUUCUGAGCUACAAAAAGGGGAAAACUUGUAUAACUGUGAAUUUUGCUCGUCCAAAUAGGGUUAAAUAAAUGAACAGUAAUGCCUCUUUAAGGGAAAGGCUGACUGCAUUUGAGAUGUACCUUGUAAUGAAGUGAUGGCAGGCCCAGGAUAUUGUUAAAGGGGAUGAAAAGUAGCUCAAAAGUUUUCUGUAUUUUUAUUUCCCUUCAUGAGAGAACCUUGCAGAGCCUAGUGGACAGAUCAGGAGCUGUAUUCACAAACUGUCAAUAUAUAUAUAUAUAUAUAUAUAUAUAUACUUGUGAGAUGUAUCGGUCAGGUGUCAGAGAUUCAGUGAAUAUUUGCGCUAAAGUGCUGAAUUUUUUUUUUUAGAUCUGCAAAAAGGGACUUCAAACUACUCACUACUUUUUACGGUGUUCUUUCUUUCACUGUGAAUUCAACACAUAAACAAAUGAAGUUAAUAAGUUGUGUGACAACCUUUAAUAAGCACCCUGGUUAAGAACCCUACAUGUUAAUGCAAACAUUUAACUUCACUGAACAUUGCAUGGGUGUGCAGACUUUUAAUCGAAGCAAAAACAACGAGUCUGUCUUGUUUUUAUUGAUGAAUGUAUUACUUUAUUUUGAAAAGAUCUAAUAAAGCUGUGAAUCUUUUGAACGAGAUGUUUAGUGAUGUAUGAACAGUCGCUGAGUUGGAGUUUGAACAGUUGAACACCGGGGGUCUGCAGAGCUACAGUAUUUCCUGUAUCAGAGAAUCUGUGGCAUCAUCUGCACGCAACAGGAAGUGGUCAGGAUGAUGAAGUAUGUGUGGGUUUUUUAUGACCCUGCUAGUGUUGCCCUCUGCUCACGCAAGCCCAAAAAUAUAGUGAAUUUGCAAAAAUAGGGUUGUGUAAGGAUGGCUUUGAGUGUCAAGAGUCACGCAAUGAAGGCAUGAAGGGGAAUGAAGAUGAAGGUGUACGGAGAACAUGCUCAUCCAGUCUUUUAGUUCCAAGUAGACCACAUAAUAGACCUUUUUGUUUUUAGCAAGUAAUGAGUUCUAUAACUCAAGCAAAUAGGGUGUUGGAAGAGAUAAUUUUGGUUGGUUAGCUUGUGAAGAUGCCUUAAUGUGUCACGUCUCUGGAUGGCAAAGAACAUGUAGUUCUGGUGAGAUCGGUCCUCCACAAUAAGAGUUGAUUAUUAACCGUAUUUAUGGAACAUUCUCCAGGUUUUAUAGACGUAUAUUUCCUUCGUAACAUCGGCUAUAUCCGUGUGCGAGAACUAAAAAAACAUGAUUCCCAUGUUCCCAUGCGACACAGACAGGUUUGAGGCAGAUUGCUUUUCUGCACGCACGCACUCCCUUCCUCUCACGGGGUGUGGGGAUUUUAGAAAGUGCUUCAUGUCUGUUCACCGUCUGAUGUGAUGCCCUGUGACAGGCUGGGACCUCGUCGAGCGUCACGUGCCCCUCUGCCCACGCCGCAAGCUCCUCCCCUCCCUCCUCUCACAUCGCUGGGCAAAAAAAAAAAACCUCACUUUGCCGUCUCAGUGAUGCUCAGGCUGAGGACACAACCCUUAACGAAUGGCGCCCAUUGGCUAACCGGCGACGCGUCACCGAAAUCGGCCUGGUUCUGAGCCACAGAGACAAAGGGAUGGGGAUAAGGUCAUUGGGGGGAAUGUGAGGUGAGGAGGACCGUUAUCUGGGAUGGAAGUGGGGCUCUAUUCCCCUUUGUUUGAUUUAGUUUUAACAUCUAACCAACGCUCAUAAAGGGAUCGCACUCAGAGCAAGGUGGCCUUAUAACAGUCAGAACCAUGUGAGAUGUUCUGCAGAUGGUUGUGAAGGAAACCUUUUAGGAAGCAAUUAUUCAGGAAUUCUGAGCUGCAGGUGUGAACACCAACAUCACUGUGAGGCUCAUUCUCAGAUGUCACCUUUCAUUUUCAAAAUCUCUCAGAAGAGCAAUUAUGAGAAAUAUGCUCAACCUGUGUGUGCAUGUUGAAUCUGUUUGACUGCGGGAGUCGUUUCUGUAUGUCUCAUCUUGUAUGUUUGAUUUAUUCUUGACAGGCUGUAUAAUAAUGAAAUAUCCAUAUUAGCACUUUAGCUUUAUUUUCUGUCAAACAGAGACUGUAUGAAUCUCUUUUCAUUGAGGAUGAACUGUUUGCCCC